AUUAAACGCUGGCGGCAUGCCUUACACAUGCAAGUCGAACGGUAGCGCGGGGCAACCUGGCGACGAGUGGCGAACGGGUGAGUAAAGCAUCGGAACGUGCCCUGGAAUGGGGGAUAACGUAGCGAAAGUUACGCUAAUACCGCAUACGAUCUACGGAUGAAAGCGGGGGAUCGCAAGACCUCGCGCGAGUGGAGCGGCCGAUGUCAGAUUAGGUAGUUGGUGGGGUAAAGGCUCACCAAGCCAACGAUCUGUAGCUGGUCUGAGAGGACGACCAGCCACACUGGAACUGAGACACGGUCCAGACUCCUACGGGAGGCAGCAGUGAGGAAUAUUGCACAAUGGGCGGAAGCCUGAUGCAGCAACGCCGCGUGGAGGACGACGGCCUUCGGGUUGGUAAAACUCCUUUUUCCGGGGGGUACCGGAGGCGAGGACGGUACCCUGGGAAUAAGUCUCGGCUAACUACGUGCCAGCAGCCGCGGUAAU
This 483-nucleotide ribosomal RNA is filed under the name uncultured bacterium. RNAcentral's name for it is "bacterial SSU rRNA". It matches the Rfam family "Bacterial small subunit ribosomal RNA", at positions 29 to 524 of the family's 1533-position model. The record is from RNAcentral.